Molecule: RNA transcript, 2458 nt
Organism: Helianthus annuus (common sunflower)
Lineage: Eukaryota; Viridiplantae; Streptophyta; Magnoliopsida; Asterales; Asteraceae
Exons: 12
Source: RefSeq, a predicted model, not a curated record
UUCACUCCGAAUCUCAAUGAAGACAUCAGUCAUUCAUCAUCACGAACCCUAAUCGCAUCAACAAUCAUCGAGCAUGAGCAUAUUCUGGUGUAAGUUAUUGAUUCUUGGUAUGAAACAUCUCAUCAACUUCAUCAUUCGUCCACCAGGAUCGAAGAUUUAAGAUCCGGCUUUUUUUUCCAUUAAUCGUCGGUUCCAUUUGAAUCCUAAACUGAUGGUUUUGUGGGGAUACCGCAUAAGGCGGCGAUAGAGGUGGAGUUGUUUGUCGGCGGUGGUUUAGCGUCAUCUAGGGUUCCAAUAGACAAGUUCGUUGCCGGUUACUUCACAACUGUUUUCCUGCUAUUGUUUCCGAUGACCCUUUAAUUGCUCAUGAUCAAUGGAAGGUAUAUUUCUAAACUUGAAACUUAAUUGAGUUUUUUAUUGACUGGUAAUUGAUGUUUUUGUAAAUGUAUGAAUGCUUAUUGGUAUUUUUAUGACUGUUUUUUCAUGUCUACAAUAUAGCCACUAAUGUCUUUUGUAAAGAUUUUGUUCGCGAGAAACGACCCGGUAGGAACUUACUUUGCACUAAACCGGUUUGCUGAUAUUUUUGAUACAAUGAUUUUGCCGGUAUUAUUUGCCGGUAUUAUUUAUGUACACCAGCUGCUUCUUCUGAAGCACAUUUGUGUAUAUUUCUUUGUUUAGAAACUGAGUGCGAUUUACUUGCAGGAAGAGAUGGUGGAAUAUGUAACAUCCAACAUGUGGUUUCCAAUUUAGUAGUUUUUUUGGCAGUUUGAAGAUAUAUGCUUUUGCCGGGCAGUUGGCCUUUGUGCUCUUCUACCAAUUAUUUUCAUGGGAAGUCAUAUGGUUAUUGAAUUUCCGACUUCACAAACAAGUCUUUGGAAUCAUUCACUAUUUCAAAUGUCAAUGACAAAUUGAAAAGAUAAUGAACCUAGAAUCAGUUAAUCGUUUGUAUCUAUAUUUGUAUGAAUACGUAACACCAUCGAGACAACGAACACUACAUCAACCACUAUAGUUUCUACUGAAAGUCACGUACAACCAACCUCUUUUCAGGUGAGAAAUUAGGCAGAGUGGGUAUGAAAAAGUACACAAAGGCAUCUUUUUGCUUGGAUUCUAUGAUGAAGAAGGCAAGCUGAUUCGAAGAAAAAUUGAAUACACAUUCGUACAAUCGUUCAAUCAAUUAUGAAGAUGUUAAAUGUUACAAUGAACUAGAGAUUUAUGUUUAUUGCAGCGACGGCAACAGAGCUUUUUCGAUGUUCUUAUGUAGCGCUUUUUCAUUUGCUAGCGACAUCAACAGAGCUACAGAGACAACCGUUAGCUUUUUGGAUGUGGUUGUGUGACAGAAUAAGAUAAUCAGUCAUCACAAACCAGUUUCUCCUGCAGUAUAUGGUGUUUGGAUAUUCUUAUGCAGUUCUUUUUCAUUUGCCGGUGACGGCAACAGAGCUGCAAAAAAAACCGGUUCAUGUCAUGCUGGUGGAAUGAACUGUGCUGAAGCUUUGCUCCACUCUUUUAGAAUUCUAGAACAAGAUUGUGGACCAGGGGUUGGGGUUUCUAAGGGUUUUGGAGCAUUUAUCAUCUGGCCCAUUUUUAGAUUUUCAAAGCAUCACCUCUGCUAGAGAGUAAAAGUAAAAGGAGAGAGGAAGAGAAGCAUAAUGGUUACUUGCAGUUAGGUCCACCAGAUAAAGAUAAUAUUGAUGUAUCAUUAUAAUUGAAAGACCGGUUAUACGCGUAGGAUGGUGCUGAAAUGGUAAAAAAUUGGCGGUUCUAUAAUUCAGAAAAUUCUUACAGAGAAGAGACACGACUUUUGAUAGUUUUGAAAGUUAAAGCAAACAACAGGACGCAAAAAAACACUUGGUUAAUAGCAAAAAGAUAUUGCCUAUAGCAUUGAAGUAUCCUACUGGCAAAAUCCGAUGGUUAAAUCUUAGUUGCGGAUCAAAUCUAAAGAUCAUAAAUUUGUGAGAGCCAGGGCAGAUGGAGCUGUUAGGUACUGGGAUAUUCAACAUGGGGAGUUGUCAAGUGGCUCCCCGAACACAUCGCAAAUUCAGCUGGUUUACACAAGAAUUCCCAAAUAAUUAUUAACAUUAUUGACGGUAGUGAAUGAGAAUUCAAGAUCUCUCGAAAAGAAGCUUUUGAUUUUACAAGAUAUAAUCUUUUAGGUUGGAUUGAUUUGAUGAAAGAUGGAGAGUUCCAUUUGGUCAGAAGUCAAGAAAGCUUUUGGUUGCAAUAGAUCAAAACCUUUAAUAUCAUUUUGAAAUUGUUUUUAGCAAACUGCUGUUUCUAUUAGAUUGUUACCUUAUAACUUUUAAUACAUGUUCACAACCCGUGAUUAGUUAGUAAUUAUUUGAUGGACGUAAUUACCCUUAUUAUCUAAUAAAGGGUUUCCAUAUAUAUAAGGAGAGAUAACUAGAGAGAUAAAGGUCACACAAUCACAAUUACAUCAAGAACUCAAGAAUUCGUUCACUCU